Xiphophorus hellerii (green swordtail) is the source of this 585-nucleotide long non-coding RNA. RefSeq lists it as uncharacterized. The record is from RefSeq and is a predicted model, not a curated record. NCBI's taxonomy places the organism in Eukaryota, Metazoa, Chordata, Actinopteri, Cyprinodontiformes, Poeciliidae. The transcript is spliced from 3 exons.
CAAUACUAAUGGAUGAGAUACCACGCAAGAAGCAAAAACCUGAGAAUCCUAAUAACUCAGUGUCUGCUAAGAAUGUAACAAUAUUUUUUGUCUGCUAACACAUCUAGCUAUGACCAAGAAACGGCCUCGCUGUUACUUCUCUUACAUCUCCUUCCACCGCAACCAGGAGGACAGAAGUCUCCAAAAAUCAGUGCAAGUGAUGCAGUUGAGAGACUUGUUGUCUUUCAUAAGUCAUGCUGCAGUUUAGAGGAGCAUCUCCGGGGUCAACAGGGUCUGCAGCCAUACCUCCUUGCUGUUGGGCGUCAGAGAAGCAAGAUUGACAGCUUCUACAUCGUCAUGGAUAAGUGCCUCAUCCCAUGCCAGACAAACGGUUCUCUUGGAGCAUUUGAUGAGCUAUUCAAAGCACAUUUUGUGAACAUUGUCUUUUCUCCUAUUCUCCCUAUGGGUAUGACGAUAUAUUUGAAGCAUUUGAUUGUUGAACACCAUAAACUCUUUAAGUUCUUAUAUUCACAUCAAAAUUUGAUACCUAAGCAUCAUUUUAUGAUCCACUAUCCAUCUUCCAUUAGGAAAAUAGGUCCAUUGUUA